Molecule: ribosomal RNA, 486 nt
Filed under: uncultured bacterium
Lineage: Bacteria
Description: partial 16S ribosomal RNA
Rfam family: Bacterial small subunit ribosomal RNA
Source: RNAcentral
AUUGAACGCUGGCGGCAUGCCUUACACAUGCAAGUCAAACGGCAGCACGGGUGCUUGCACCUGGUGGCGAGUGGCGAACGGGUGAGUAAUACAUCGGAACAUGUCCUGUAGUGGGGGAUAGCCCGGCGAAAGCCGGAUUAAUACCGCAUACGAUCCACGGAUGAAAGCGGGGGACCUUCGGGCCUCGCGCUAUAGGGUUGGCCGAUGGCUGAUUAGCUAGUUGGUGGGGUAAAGGCCUACCAAGGCGACGAUCAGUAGCUGGUCUGAGAGGACGACCAGCCACACUGGGACUGAGACACGGCCCAGACUCCUACGGGAGGCAGCAGUGUGGAAUUUUGGACAAUGGGCGAAAGCCUGAUCCAGCAAUGCCGCGUGUGUGAAGAAGGCCUUCGGGUUGUAAAGCACUUUUGUCCGGAAAGAAAUCCUUGACUCUAAUACAGUCGGGGGAUGACGGUACCGGAAGAAUAAGCACCGGCUAACUACGUG